RNAcentral lists this ribosomal RNA (422 nucleotides) under Verrucomicrobiota bacterium. Its description in RNAcentral is "Verrucomicrobia bacterium partial 16S ribosomal RNA". It matches the Rfam family "Bacterial small subunit ribosomal RNA", at positions 355 to 776 of the family's 1533-position model. Lineage: Bacteria; Pseudomonadati; Verrucomicrobiota. The record is from RNAcentral.
UGGGGAAUUUUGCACAAUGGGCGCAAGCCUGAUGCAGCGACGCCGCGUGAGGGAUGAAGGCCUUCGGGUUGUAAACCUUUUUCGCUCAUGGUCAAGCCGCAGCUUUGGGUUGUGGUGAGGGUAGUGGGUAAAGAAGCGCCGGCUAACUACGUGCCAGCAGCCGCGGUAAUACGUAGGGCGCGAGCGUUGUCCGGAAUUAUUGGGCGUAAAGGGCUUGUAGGCGGUUGGCCGCGUCUGCCGUGAAAUCCUCUGGCUUAACUGGGGGCGUGCGGUGGGUACGGGUUGACUUGAGUGCGGUAGGGGAGACUGGAAUUCCUGGUGUAGCGGUGGAAUGCGUAGAUAUCAGGAGGAACACCGGUGGCGAAGGCGGGUCUCUGGGCCGUUACUGACGCUGAGGAGCGAAAGCGUGGGGAGCGAACAGG